RNAcentral lists this transfer RNA (63 nucleotides) under Emydura subglobosa worrelli. Its description in RNAcentral is "tRNA-Ser". Lineage: Eukaryota; Metazoa; Chordata; Testudines; Chelidae. The record is from RNAcentral. RNAcentral also lists the same sequence under 1 other name.
GAGAAAGAUAUACAAUAAGACCUGCUAACUCUUAUAACUGAAGUUAAAACCUCAGCUCUCUCA